GACGUGCAAAUCGUUCGUCUG
RNAcentral lists this small nuclear RNA (21 nucleotides) under Arabidopsis thaliana (thale cress). RNAcentral describes it as "snRNA_16719". The record is from RNAcentral. Lineage: Eukaryota; Viridiplantae; Streptophyta; Magnoliopsida; Brassicales; Brassicaceae.